RNAcentral lists this long non-coding RNA (3397 nucleotides) under Setaria italica (foxtail millet). Its description in RNAcentral is "long non-coding RNA (SITA_LNC002890)". Lineage: Eukaryota; Viridiplantae; Streptophyta; Magnoliopsida; Poales; Poaceae. The record is from RNAcentral.
AUCCUUUGAAGUCUUUGGGUUCCCUGUUUGCUUGGAGCAUCUCCUGCAGCUCUUUGCCCGUGAGGGCAUCAGGCUUGGUGUGGGCAUGCUUCUUGAAUAUCUCCUCAAACUUUUCAGGAACUGCAAGUUUCAUAGAUGAUGUCAUUAGAUAUUAAAGUUCAUGCUAUUGAGUUAGUUUUUGUAAAUGUUAAUGAUAGAUUUAUUUUUUUGCAGGAUAUGUCAUGGCAUGGUUUUUUUACCAUGACUUGUCUUAGCAUUUUUUAGGCAAGACUUAUCUUAUCAAAUUAAUAAUCUUAUGGUAAAUUACAGUGAAAACGAAGGCAUCCAAUUCAAUAGUAUCUGCACUAUGUCCUGGUAUCCUUUUCUUUAUAUUUCCUACAUCAUGAUCAUUCUCAGGUACUGAUAUAGACUGAUUCUAUUUAUAAUAUUCAAACAUAUUUUGAUGAACUAUAGUCGUUUUUAAGUGUAGCUUUAAACAGUGGAAAAGGCAAAGCCAACUCUUCAUUCUCAACCGUUUCCUCUAAGCUUCAUCCCAUCUCACAUAAGGGAGAAAAGGAACACUAGCUAGUGUGUCUGGCAAUUCUCAUGUGUCUCGUCACAUUUUUUUUAUAGGAAGCUGAGUGAUCAGUGUUACCUGGUCAUGAGUAAAGUACAAUGACAAGUGAUUAAUUAUACUAACCCAAACUGGAUUUUUCUGCAGCUGGCACAUGGCCUAUCCGAGAGGGAUCAUAAGGAUGGUGACAGAUUGUAUAUGGAAUUGGAAAGGCCUUCCUUUGUAUAAAGUUUUUUUUGACUGUGCAGAUAAUUCUAUCGGUUAGAUAGGCUGUUGUACAAGUUUUUCUGUGGCUGCAGAUAACUAUGAGAGAUCUUUGUUCUAUUCCAGAGAGGAUAGUAAGGCAGGCCAUGCAUGUUCUAUUUGCAUCAAGAUUCGUCUUGACAGAAACAUGGGUAUGGAAUAUGAUAAAAUUACAGUGAAAACAAAGGCAUCCGACUUCUCAUUCAAUAUUUGCAUUAGCGUUUUCCUACACUUUAAUUUCUUUAAUAAAAGUUGGACACUUUGUCAUUCCAACGUCAAGAUCAUAUCACAGGUGGUUCAGAUAUGCUGGGAGAAGCUGAUCAACUAGUUCUGGGACCCUAGUUCCUGCGAUUAUUCAGUAGGGCAACCCCAUCUGAUAGAUAGAACACCCUCACUUUUUCUAGACUUAGGUGUUGCUGCAACCCAUAGUUGUAAUGUUUCUUUUGCCAGUACGUAUUUGGCUCUCAGCCUCUCACUACUUCAUCUUGCACACUUAUUAAAAUUGACUAAUCCAUAUGCUAAUUGUUAGCUAACCUGUCAUCAUGGGAAUAAUCUUUUCAACUCGUUUGGCUCCUGAUUCAGUUAACUAAUGCAGCAUCCACCUCUUGCCAUUGUUAUCUUUCAUUUUCUGCCAUGCAUUCUAUUUCGAUAUUCAUACUGAACUGUUGCAGUAGUUGAUGAGUGUUGCUUUAGAGUGUAGACAGCGGAAACGACACAUAUAACCCUUCAUCCCCAGCUAUACGUUCCUUUUAGACUUUUGUUGCUUCUAAUGUGAAGUGAUAAUGCAUCCAUCCAUCUCACAUCAGAAAAGUUGCACUAUUAUUAUUGCUUACUCUUCUUUGCCGAUUUGCAUGUCGCUUAGCUACUACUUUAUUGUUAGUGAGAUAAAUGAUCAGUGUUACCUUGUCUUUACUGACCAGUAAAGUAACAGAAAAUUCCUUUGACACCGGUAAAAUGAGAGUUCCUUUCUUGGUCCUAUAAAUUUUGAACUUCUCUAUUUGACACUAGAUUUAACUUUUAUUCCCUAUUCGACACUAUCGUCUGUUUUUAGCAGUGAAGAGUGAAAAUACUAUUUUGCCCCUUAGCAUGACAAAGCUAUCUGCAAGGAGAUGAUGCGAGGCUUGGGUCUGAUUUUGGGGAUCAGCUCAGGAAUCAUAGGGGGAUUGGGAAGAGAUUAGCAAUGUGGUGAUGCAACGGCGGACUUGAAUCUUCGAUCUAGCCAUGUGUGGUCUUGGUUUCUGGUGUUUCUAACUCAAUUUGGGCGAUGGCAUGCUUGAUUUGGUGUUGCGUUCGUUCAAUUCUGCCACCAAGGUGCUAGCCGAGAUGGAACCCAGCAGUCUGCGUCAUGUAGCACCAGCGCCAUUUUCAUCUUCUCAUUUUCAUCUUCUCGCAAGUCAUCGGCUCAUCGCAGCCUGCUGGCUGACCGAGGUUGCCUGCGCCAUCGCCGUCCGCGGUCACGACCCAUCCCUAUCCGGCCAUCCCCUGCGCAGUGCCCAGCCUCCCCAGCCCUUGAUCCACGCACUCCGCACCUGGAGAAGCAUACGUCGCCGCACCUGGAGCCGUGACUGCCUCCGCGCCGGGAGGCACGGCUGUCUCUGCGCCACCCUCACCGAGUCAACGUCCAUUGAGCCGCGAGCAUAGGCUGCCGCUGUCUCCUUUUCUUUAAAGCCGUCGUUUCGAUAUGGUGGGGAGAACAAGCGAUUGAUUUAAAAAAAUAAAUAAAUCGGUGCCUGUUGGAUGUAGCUUCCAUUGAGGGUAUUUUGGUCCAUUUAACCAGGUUCAUAUAUGAACUUAACAGAAGUAGGUAACGGAUUGGAUGGAGGUGUCAAAUAAGAAACUAAAAUUGAAGGUAGUGUCUAAUAGGGAAUUUCAAAAUUUCUAGGGUCAGAAAAAGGAAGCUCUCACUUUACCGGUGUCAAAUACGGAAUUUUCUCAAAGUACAAUGGAAACUCAACUGACCAGAGCUGGACAUUAGGCUGCGGGCGCAUGAACUAUCUGAAGGUUUCACACGGAUGGUAACAGAUGGAAGUUUUUUUAAAGAAAAAAAGUACCUUCCAUUGGCAUCGUACACGCCUGAAUCGCUUCCGUGCUUGCCCUUGUGGAUGUUCUUCACAUAAAUGGGAAACUUAAAAGGUGGAGUCUUCUGGUUCUCCUGCAGCAGCAACAUGAGAAAAAACGCGGGAAUGAGUCGGCAUCACAAGUCUUUAACACCUGGAUCGAAUCGCACUUAUGCAUGAAUGACACGUCUUUAGAGCCAUAUACAUGUCGAAAAGAUAACCAAAUUAAAAGGUGGAAGCUUUACUUGGUUGAGUGUUCGCAAUGGAAUGCGGUAGGGGAUCGACUAGUGGUAUGUCUAUAUGUAUUCCUUAACAUAUGGACCGUAGCUUUAUGCCUGCCUUUUCUUUUGCUUUUUCAAGAGAAUAGUAUCUAGUUGUAAUGCGUGCUGGAGCAUGUGUGUAUCUAUCUUCAUGUGUUAGUGAUUUUUUUUCUUGUACAGUACUUAUCCGAUCAUAUGCUUUCACUGUUUACAGCUCUUACUGAAGCUAUAUUCCGCUAUUGUUUCGAAGAGUAUAUUAGGCAUCUGCAGAUAUAGUUAGCUUA